Molecule: ribosomal RNA, 501 nt
Filed under: uncultured bacterium
Lineage: Bacteria
Description: bacterial SSU rRNA
Rfam family: Bacterial small subunit ribosomal RNA
Source: RNAcentral
AUUGAACGCUGGCGGCAUGCCUUACACAUGCAAGUCGAACGGCAGCACGGGGGCAACCCUGGUGGCGAGUGGCGAACGGGUGAGUAACGCAUCGGAAUGUACCCAGUAGUGGGGGAUAACUAGUCGAAAGACUAGCUAAUACCGCAUACGCACUGAGGUGGAAAGCGGGGGAUCGCAAGACCUCGCGCUAUUGGAGCAGCCGAUGUCCGAUUAGGUAGUUGGUGGGGUAAAGGCCUACCAAGCCUGCGAUCGGUAACUGGUCUGAGAGGACGACCAGUCACACUGGGACUGAGACACGGCCCAGACUCCUACGGGAGGCAGCAGUGGGGAAUUUUGGACAAUGGGCGCAAGCCUGAUCCAGCAAUGCCGCGUGUGUGAAGAAGGCCUUCGGGUUGUAAAGCACUUUUGGUCGGGAGCGAAACGGCGUUUGCUAAUACCAGACGCUAAUGACGGUACCCGCAGAAUAAGCACCGGCUAACUACGUGCCAGCAGCCGCGGUAA